RNAcentral lists this ribosomal RNA (253 nucleotides) under uncultured bacterium. RNAcentral describes it as "partial 16S ribosomal RNA". It matches the Rfam family "Bacterial small subunit ribosomal RNA", at positions 524 to 776 of the family's 1533-position model. The record is from RNAcentral.
UACAGAGGGUGCAAGCGUUGUUCGGAAUUACUGGGCGUAAAGCGCGUGUAGGCGGUCCAGCAAGUCGGGUGUGAAAUCCCUUGGCUUAACCAAGGAACUGCAUUCGAAACUAUUGGACUUGAGUAUCGGAGGGGGUGGCGGAAUUCCCGGUGUAGAGGUGAAAUUCGUAGAUAUCGGGAGGAACACCUGUGGCGAAGGCGGCCACCUGGAAGAUAACUGACGCUGAGACGCGAAAGCGUGGGGAGCAAACAGG